RNAcentral lists this ribosomal RNA (164 nucleotides) under Sundamomum durum. RNAcentral describes it as "5.8S ribosomal RNA". It matches the Rfam family "5.8S ribosomal RNA". From Rfam's summary of the family: 5.8S ribosomal RNA (5.8S rRNA) is a component of the large subunit of the eukaryotic ribosome. It is transcribed by RNA polymerase I as part of the 45S precursor that also contains 18S and 28S rRNA. The record is from RNAcentral. Lineage: Eukaryota; Viridiplantae; Streptophyta; Magnoliopsida; Zingiberales; Zingiberaceae.
UGAAUGACUCUCGGCAAUGGAUAUCUCGGCUCUUGCAUCGAUGAAGAACGUAGUGAAAUGCGAUACUUGGUGUGAAUUGCAGAAUCUCGUGAACCAUUGAGUCUUUGAACGCAAGUUGUGCCCGAGGCUUUGUGACCGAGGGCACGCCUGCUUGGGCGUCAUGA